GAUGAACGCUGGCGGCGUGCUUAACACAUGCAAGUCGAGCGAAGCACUUGAACAGAUUUCUUCGGAAUGAAGUUCCUGUGACUGAGCGGCGGACGGGUGAGUAACGCGUGGGUAACCUGCCUCAUACAGGGGGAUAACAGUUAGAAAUGACUGCUAAUACCGCAUAAGCGCACGGUAUCGCAUGAUACCGUGUGAAAAACUGAGGUGGUAUGAGAUGGACCCGCGUUAGAUUAGCCAGUUGGCGGGGUAACGGCCCACCAAAGCGACGAUCUAUAGCCGGCCUGAGAGGGCGACCGGCCACAUUGGGACUGAGACACGGCCCAA
This 324-nucleotide ribosomal RNA is filed under the name uncultured bacterium. Its description in RNAcentral is "bacterial SSU rRNA". It matches the Rfam family "Bacterial small subunit ribosomal RNA", at positions 28 to 334 of the family's 1533-position model. The record is from RNAcentral.